GUCCCUGUAGCACAAUGGAGAGCGCGCGCGCGCGCGCGCGUUGGACUUCUAAUCCAAAGGUCGUAGGCUCAAAUCCCACUUGGGAUG
Molecule: non-coding RNA, 87 nt
Organism: Trichonephila clavipes
Lineage: Eukaryota; Metazoa; Arthropoda; Arachnida; Araneae; Nephilidae
Source: the annotation of a GenBank genome assembly